UGCAGAACCUUUGGAUAAUGGCAUUUACAUUUGAAAAAUCACGGCUUGUCUUCUCCCUCUGCUAGAACUAUCUUCCUUACGUUAGAGCCUAGCUAGCCUUAAUAGGAUAGUGAAGGCUACUAUGUGGUACAUGUAUUAUAGCAGGUGUAGUCAAACUUUUGGAAGGUGCUUUAUCUGGGAAAAAAACCCUCAUCAUCUUGUCCAGCCUUUGUGGUAACACAAAGAAAAGGCCCAGUGCUUCUCCCACUGAAGACAAAACCAGUAUUUUCUCUAAUCAGGACAAAAUGAACAUAAAUCUUAUACUGGUCUGGCUAGAAAAAGUCUGGCUAAGUAUGGCAACACCUGUAAUGCCCCUCACCUUCUGAGAGUUAAAUUGCACUGCUGCAAGGAAGUAGUGAUUAAACUCCAUUGCCUCAUGGAUCGAUCCCAGAAAACAGAAUGCAGGCGAAGACAGCUCUUGGACGAGAGGAAGAAUUUAAAUGCAUUUAAAUUAAGAGACUGGCGCUUUACCACAGCCAUUUUCCCGCCACCUAAUUAGAAGGCAUGAAGCCUCUCCUGCCUUUACCUCCGGGAGCAGUCGCUGGGCACGGGGCCGGUGAGCGCAGACAGCUCCCGGUGCGGACAGCUCCCGGUGAGCCGGACAGCUCCCGGUGCUGAAGGAACCGCACCGACGCGCCGAGGGGGGCGGCGAGGGCUGGGCUGAAUAGCACUGUCUGCAGAACAAUGGCAGCGAACUCCAAAUCCUGCUAUAAUCACAUUAAUGAGAUUAAUCAGUGAAUUAGCAGCAGUCAAAUGUCAGGGUGGCGGGGAGGAAUCCAACCAAGCUAGGUAAUUAACUUUUGGGGGGCAGGGGAAGGGAAUCGACUGUGUUGUCUGUUAGGCUUUUCCUGAAGUUCAGCAGGAUUAUUCACCAGCCUUUGGAAGAUUCUGACAAUUCAAGUGGAGGGGGGAGGUGGGGAUAAGACGGAGACCUCAACCUUUGUGUGCUACAAGACAGCCUGCUAAUGCACAGUAUCCCAUUACUUCCAGCUGAAGUCCAUUGAGGAAACUAGCACCGUUUCAGGCACCCUCCACUCCCUGCAGCUGCCAGAGCUGCCUUGGGCUGAGCUCGGAGUGUGAAACUAGUUCUGUGAGCUAACUUUCACCACAGAUUCCAAUAGGCAUGAUAAAUAUGGCGGAUGCCAAAAAAAACAUUAAAUCUUACUCCUUUUCAAAAAUGUACAAGGAAG
RNAcentral lists this long non-coding RNA (1229 nucleotides) under Cyanistes caeruleus (blue tit). RNAcentral's name for it is "lncRNA (ENSCCEG00000008133.1)". Lineage: Eukaryota; Metazoa; Chordata; Aves; Passeriformes; Paridae. The record is from RNAcentral.